This 93-nucleotide transfer RNA is filed under the name Candidatus Sumerlaeaceae bacterium. RNAcentral's name for it is "tRNA-Ser". It matches the Rfam family "tRNA". From Rfam's summary of the family: Transfer RNA (tRNA) molecules are approximately 80 nucleotides in length. Lineage: Bacteria; Candidatus Sumerlaeota; Candidatus Sumerlaeia; Candidatus Sumerlaeales; Candidatus Sumerlaeaceae. The record is from RNAcentral.
GGAGGGGUGGCCGAGUGGCUGAAGGCAGCGGUUUGCUAAACCGUCCUAGGGGGUAAACCUCUAGCGGGGGUUCGAAUCCCCCCUCCUCCGCCA